UCGCUUCUCUGUAACCCGAAAGUAUAAGAGGUCCCGCCUGCCCUGUGACUAUAUGUUUAACGGCCGCGGUAUUUUGACCGUGCGAAGGUAGCGCAAUCACUUGUCUUUUAAAUGGGGACCUGUAUGAAUGGCAUAACGAGGGCUUGACUGUCUCCUCUUUCAAGUCAAUGAAAUUGAUCUCCCCGUGCAGAAGCGGGGAUGAAUACAUAAGACGAGAAGACCCUAUGAAGCUUUAGACACUAAAGCAGAUCAUCAUUAACACCCUAAACAACAGGGCAUAAACCAACUGAACCCUGCCCUAUAUGUCUUUGGUUGGGGCGACCGCGGAGAAAUAAAAAACCCCCGCAAGGACCGAAUGUACUACAUUCACAACCAAGAGCGACAGCUCUAAUUAACAGAACUUCUGACCAAUAAGAUCCGGCAAUGCCGAUUAAUGAACCAAGUUACCCUAGGGAUAACAGCGCAAUCUCCUCUUAGAGUCCAUAUCGACGAGGAGGUUUACGACCUCGAUGUUGGAUCAGGACAUCCUAAUGGUGCAGCCGCUAUUAAGGGUUCGUUUGUUCAACGAUUAAAGUCCUACGUGAUCUGAGUUU
This is a ribosomal RNA of 593 nucleotides. It matches the Rfam family "Bacterial large subunit ribosomal RNA", at positions 1823 to 2612 of the family's 2925-position model.